UGGCAAGGGAGGUUAGCCCCCGUAAGUGGAUUUACAAACCACCGCCUAAAUUCAGCCACCUUACC
RNAcentral lists this transfer RNA (65 nucleotides) under Trapelus agilis (brilliant ground agama). RNAcentral describes it as "tRNA-Tyr". The record is from RNAcentral. Lineage: Eukaryota; Metazoa; Chordata; Lepidosauria; Squamata; Agamidae.